AUUGAACGCUGGCGGCAUGCCUUACACAUGCAAGUCGAACGGCAGCACGGGAGCAAUCCUGGUGGCGAGUGGCGAACGGGUGAGUAAAGUAUCGGAACGUGCCCAGUCGUGGGGGAUAACGUAGCGAAAGUUACGCUAAUACCGCAUACGAUCUAUGGAUGAAAGCGGGGGAUCGCAAGACCUCGCGCGAUUGGAGCGGCCGAUAUCAGAUUAGGUAGUGGGUGGGGUAAAGGCUCACCAAGCCGACGAUCUGUAGCUGGUCUGAGAGGACGACCAGCCAACCUGGGACUGAGACACGGCCCAGACUCCUGCGGGAGGCAGCAGUGGGGAAUUUUGGACAAUGGGCGAAAGCCUGAUCCAGCCAUGCCGCGUGCAGGAUGAAGGCCUUCGGGUUGUAAACUGCUUUUGUACGGAACGAAAAGGUUUGGCCUAAUAAGCUGAGCUCAUGACGGUACCGUAAGAAUAAGCACCGGCUAACUACGUGCCAGCCGCCGCCGUAA
RNAcentral lists this ribosomal RNA (500 nucleotides) under uncultured bacterium. Its description in RNAcentral is "partial 16S ribosomal RNA". It matches the Rfam family "Bacterial small subunit ribosomal RNA", at positions 30 to 523 of the family's 1533-position model. The record is from RNAcentral.